Molecule: ribosomal RNA, 497 nt
Filed under: uncultured bacterium
Lineage: Bacteria
Description: partial 16S ribosomal RNA
Rfam family: Bacterial small subunit ribosomal RNA
Source: RNAcentral
GAUGAACGCUGGCGGCGUGCCUAAUACAUGCAAGUCGAGCGAACAGAUGAGGAGCUUGCUCCUCUGACGUUAGCGGCGGACGGGUGAGUAACACGUGGAUAACCUACCUAUAAGACUGGGAUAACUUCGGGAAACCGGAGCUAAUACCGGAUAAUAUAUUGAACCGCAUGGUUCAAUAGUGAAAGACGGUUUUGCUGUCACUUAUAGAUGGAUCCGCGCCGCAUUAGCUAGUUGGUAAGGUAACGGCUUACCAAGGCAACGAUGCGUAGCCGACCUGAGAGGGUGGUCGGCCACACUGGAACUGAGACACGGUCCAUGCUCCUACGGGAGGCAGCAGUAGGGAAUCUUCCGCAAUGGGCGAAAGCCUGACGGAGCAACGCCGCGUGAGUGAUGAAGGUCUUCGGAUCGUAAAACUCUGUUAUUAGGGAAGAACAAAUGUGUAAGUAACUAUGCACGUCUUGACGGUACCUAAUCAGAAAGCCCCGGCUAACUACGUG